Non-coding RNA from Oryctolagus cuniculus (rabbit), 441 nucleotides. Lineage: Eukaryota; Metazoa; Chordata; Mammalia; Lagomorpha; Leporidae. The record is from RefSeq and is a predicted model, not a curated record.
AGGUUUUUCUCCAACACAUGAAUCAUCUAAACACUUGGAAAGCAAGUAACAGACUCAUCCAAGUAGGGGCAAAAUAGACUGAAUCCCAGUCUGCUGGUUCCCAGGCUCAACAAAGGAACCCCCUUCCUGGUCUUAGUGAGUCUCCACCUUAUGAGUCUUGAUUGGGAGCAUUUGGCAACCAUUGAUCUUUGGCCAUUUUGCCUCUUGACCGUUUUGCCUCUUCCAAAAUAUCAUGUACUUAGAAGCAGUAGCCUUUUCAGAUUGACUUCUUUCACUUUGCAACAUGCAGCCCUCCAAAGCUGUUGCGCUCAUGAAGAUAUCACUUUGGAAGAAAGAAUAAUUGCAUUGAAUGAGAGUAUACAGGACACUCUUGAAGUAUGUAUCAUGGUGUUUAAUCAUGAUAUUGUGAGUAAUUGGGAAUAUAAAGGUUCUUUCAAAAUG